This 431-nucleotide ribosomal RNA is filed under the name uncultured bacterium. RNAcentral's name for it is "partial 16S ribosomal RNA". It matches the Rfam family "Bacterial small subunit ribosomal RNA", at positions 29 to 507 of the family's 1533-position model. The record is from RNAcentral.
AACGAACGCUGGCGGCAGGCUUAACACAUGCAAGUCGAACGCCCCGCAAGGGGAGUGGCAGACGGGUGAGUAACGCGUGGGAACAUACCCUUUCCUGCGGAAUAGCUCCGGGAAACUGGAAUUAAUACCGCAUACGCCCUACGGGGGAAAGAUUUAUCGGGGAAGGAUUGGCCCGCGUUGGAUUAGCUAGUUGGUGGGGUAAAGGCCUACCAAGGCGACGAUCCAUAGCUGGUCUGAGAGGAUGAUCAGACACACUGGGUCUGAGACACGGCCCAAACUCCUACGGGAGGCAGCAGUGGGGAACAUUGGACACUGGGCGCAAGCGUGAUCCAGCCAUGCCGCGUGAGUGAUGAAGUCCUUAGGGUUGUAAAGCUCUUUCACCGAUGAAGAUAAUGACGGUAGUCGGAGAAGAAGCCCCGGCUAACUUCGUG